Molecule: transfer RNA, 77 nt
Filed under: Gemmatimonadota bacterium
Lineage: Bacteria; Pseudomonadati; Gemmatimonadota
Also listed under: 1 other name
Description: Gemmatimonadetes bacterium tRNA-Val
Rfam family: tRNA
About the family: Transfer RNA (tRNA) molecules are approximately 80 nucleotides in length. Their secondary structure includes four short double-helical elements and three loops (D, anti-codon, and T loops). Further hydrogen bonds mediate the characteristic L-shaped molecular structure. tRNAs have two regions of fundamental functional importance: the anti-codon, which is responsible for specific mRNA codon recognition, and the 3' end, to which the tRNAs corresponding amino acid is attached (by aminoacyl-tRNA synthetases). tRNAs cope with the degeneracy of the genetic code in two manners: having more than one tRNA (with a specific anti-codon) for a particular amino acid; and 'wobble' base-pairing, i.e. permitting non-standard base-pairing at the 3rd anti-codon position.
Source: RNAcentral
GGGCGGUUAGCUCAGCUGGUUAGAGCGCCUGCCUUACAAGCAGGAGGUCACUGGUUCGAAUCCAGUAUCGCCCACCA